UGCCCCAACAGUUUUCUUAACAUUCCAGAACAUAAAGCACCUGCCCCUCUCGUCCGUAUCUUCAGCAGUAGCACCAAAGUAAUCAAUAGAAUCAUCCCAAAAUACUUCAGGAAACUCCAAGACAACUUUAUUAAGGACACCAAAACCAAGCCUUUGGAUAGAUAAAUCUUUCCACUGGGGUAAGGGUGGUGAAAAUUUAAUUGUUUCCGCCUUAAGACACCCUAAUGGAACUGUUAUAAGCACUGCAUCUCCAGAAAACUCUCGUCCAUUUGUCGUGGAGACUUUUACCUUGUUAAACAAAUCAUUAUUUGAAAGAACAUCUUUUUUGCAAUAUGAAAUAUCAGUAACAAUGUGGUUCAAGUGAACGCAAAG
This 372-nucleotide unclassified non-coding RNA is filed under the name Hevea brasiliensis (rubber tree). Lineage: Eukaryota; Viridiplantae; Streptophyta; Magnoliopsida; Malpighiales; Euphorbiaceae. The record is from RNAcentral.